GGGGGCGAAAAGGGUUCGACGGAGGUAGGGAGAUAAGGGGUGCAUGCCGAGGUCCCACGCCUCGUUAAACAGUGGGGCACCUACAAGUGCCAACGAUUAUGAGUACGCCUUGGCUGCUUAAUUGACGCAGCCAACGCCCCGGGGGUUCGCCUGCAGGCCUCUGGAGGGCGUCAGAUAUGCAGGCUGGUCCCUGCUGAUGCUUAUAAAGCAGGGGCGAGAUCCUUAUAAGCUGUGCCCUGAGGGAUCCCGCCUGGGGGAGCCCUCAGGGCGAGAGGAAAACCCAGGCUAAGCAUGUAGGGCCCCUUAGGGAACUACCUCCGGACGCGGGUUCGAUUCCCGCCGCCUCCACCA
RNAcentral lists this transfer-messenger RNA (351 nucleotides) under Deltaproteobacteria bacterium. It matches the Rfam family "transfer-messenger RNA". Rfam says of the family: Bacterial tmRNA, also known as 10Sa RNA or SsrA, is named for its dual tRNA and mRNA-like properties. Its role is to liberate the mRNA from a stalled ribosome. To accomplish this part of the tmRNA is used as a reading frame that ends in a translation stop signal. The record is from RNAcentral. Lineage: Bacteria; Pseudomonadati; Myxococcota; Myxococcia.